GCUGCACAUGUUAGAGCUCGUUGGUAAGGCCACUGGCUGGCCCAAUGAGCUCACAAGUGCAGGUAGUGUGCUACAUGAUGGGCAAGAUUUUUGCUAACACCGCAAGGGUCUCUGACCCAAUGAGUAGAGUGUGAUAAUAAUCCUUGCUACAAGU
This 154-nucleotide small nucleolar RNA is filed under the name Echinops telfairi (small Madagascar hedgehog). Lineage: Eukaryota; Metazoa; Chordata; Mammalia; Afrosoricida; Tenrecidae. The record is from RNAcentral.